Molecule: ribosomal RNA, 491 nt
Filed under: uncultured bacterium
Lineage: Bacteria
Description: partial 16S ribosomal RNA
Rfam family: Bacterial small subunit ribosomal RNA
Source: RNAcentral
AGUGAACGCUGGCGGUAGGCCUAACACAUGCAAGUCGAACGGCAGCAGAGUAAUAGCUUGUUCUUACGGGUGGCGAGUGGCGGACAGUUGAUGAAUAUAUCGGAAGCUACUUGUUCGUGGGGGAGAACGUAGGGAAACUUACGCUAAUACCGCAUACGACCUACGGGUGAAAUCAGGGGAUCUUCGGACAUUGCGCGAUUGAAUGAGCCGAUGUCGGAUUAGCGAGUUGGCGGGGUAAAGGCGCACCAAGGCGACGAUCCGUAGCUGGUCUGAGAGGAUGAUAAGCAACAUUGGAACUGAGCCACGGUCCAGACUCUUCCGGGAGGAAGCAGUGGGAAUUAUGGGCCAAUGGGCGCAAGCCUGAUCAAGCCAUCCGGCGUGGGUGAAGAAGGCCUUCGGGUUGUAAAGCCCUUUUGUUGGGAAAGAAAAGAAGAAGGUUAAUCCCCCGCUGUUCGGCCGGAACCAAAAGAAUAAGCACGGGCAACUUCCGG